This 535-nucleotide ribosomal RNA is filed under the name uncultured bacterium. RNAcentral describes it as "bacterial SSU rRNA". It matches the Rfam family "Bacterial small subunit ribosomal RNA", at positions 777 to 1304 of the family's 1533-position model. The record is from RNAcentral.
AAUAGAUACCCGGGUAGCCCUAGCUGUAAACGAUGAGCACUUAUCUGGGGAUCCUCCCAUAGGUUCCCGGAUGUAGCGAAAGUGUUAAGUGCUCCGCCGGGGGAGUAUGGUCGCAAGGCUGAAACUCAAAGAAAUUGACGGGGGCUCACACAAGCGGUGGAGGAUGUGGCUUAAUUCGAGGCUACGCGAAGAACCUUAUCCAGGUCUUGACAUGUACGGAUUAACCCCGUGAAAGCGGGGCCACAGCUUCGGCUGGAACGUGCACAGGUGCUGCAUGGCUGUCGUCAGCUCGUGUCGUGAGAUGUCGGGUUAAGUCCCUUAACGAGCGAAACCCUUGUCUCUAGUUGCCAGCGAGUAAUGUCGGGGACUCUAGAGAGACUGCCGGUGUUAAACCGGAGGAAGGCGGGGAUGACGUCAAGUCCUCAUGGCCUUUAUGACCUGGGCUGCACACGUCCUACAAUGGCGUCUACAAAGGGAAGCAAGCUCGCGAGAGUAAGCAAAAUCCCAAAAAGGGCGCCUCAGUUCGGAUUGCAGG